This 253-nucleotide ribosomal RNA is filed under the name uncultured bacterium. Its description in RNAcentral is "partial 16S ribosomal RNA". It matches the Rfam family "Bacterial small subunit ribosomal RNA", at positions 524 to 776 of the family's 1533-position model. The record is from RNAcentral.
UACGUAGGGUGCGAGCGUUAAUCGGAAUUACUGGGCGUAAAGCGUGCGCAGGCGGUUCGACAAGUCUGAUGUGAAAUCCCCGGGCUCAACCUGGGAACUGCGUUGGAAACUGUCGGGCUAGAGUGUAGAAGAGGGGGGUAGAAUUCCACGUGUAGCAGUGAAAUGCGUAGAGAUGUGGAGGAAUACCGAUGGCGAAGGCAGCCCCCUGGGCUAACACUGACGCUCAUGCACGAAAGCGUGGGGAGCAAACAGG